GACGAACGCUGGCGGCGUGCUUAACACAUGCAAGUCGAACGGAAAGGCCCUGCUUGCCGGGUACUCGAGUGGCGAACGGGUGAGUAACACGUGGGUGAUCUGCCCUGCACUUCGGGAUAAGCCUGGGAAACUGGGUCUAAUACCGGAUAGGAGCCAUUUUUAGUGUGAUGGUUGGAAAGUUUUUUCGGUGUAGGAUGAGCUCGCGGCCUAUCAGCUUGUUGGUGGGGUAAUGGCCUACCAAGGCGGCGACGGGUAGCCGGCCUGAGAGGGUGGACGGCCACAUUGGGACUGAGAUACGGCCCAGACUCCUACGGGAGGCAGCAGUGGGGAAUAUUGCACAAUGGGCGCAAGCCUGAUGCAGCGACGCCGCGUGGGGGAUGACGGCCUUCGGGUUGUAAACUCCUUUCGUUAGGGACGAAGCUUUUUGUGACGGUACCUAGAUAAGAAGCACCGGCUAACUACGUG
RNAcentral lists this ribosomal RNA (465 nucleotides) under uncultured bacterium. RNAcentral's name for it is "partial 16S ribosomal RNA". It matches the Rfam family "Bacterial small subunit ribosomal RNA", at positions 28 to 507 of the family's 1533-position model. The record is from RNAcentral.